GAUGAACGCUGGCGGCGUGCCUAAUACAUGCAAGUCGAGCGAACGGACGAGAAGCUUGCUUCUCUGAUGUUAGCGGCGGACGGGUGAGUACCACGUGGACCACCUCCCUAUAAGACUGGGAUAACAUCCGGAACCCGGAGCUCAUACCGGCUGAUAAUUUGAACCGCCUGGCUCCAAAGCGAAAGACGGUCUUGCUGCCAAUUACAGAUGGGUCCGCGCUUCAUUAGCUAGUUGGUCAGGUAAAGGCUUACCAACGCAACGAUGCGUAGCCGCCCUGAGAGGGUGAUCAGCCACACUGGAACUGAGACACGGUCCAGACUCCUACGGGAGGCAGCAGUAGGGAAUCUUCGGCAAUGGGCGAAAGCCUGACGUAGCAAUGCCGCGUGAAGGAUGAAGGUCUUCGGAUUGUAAAACGCUGUUGUUAGGAAAGAACAGAUGUUUACGUAACUGGGCACAUCUUGACGGUACCUAAUCAGAAAGCCACGGCUAACUACGUG
This 497-nucleotide ribosomal RNA is filed under the name uncultured bacterium. Its description in RNAcentral is "partial 16S ribosomal RNA". It matches the Rfam family "Bacterial small subunit ribosomal RNA", at positions 28 to 507 of the family's 1533-position model. The record is from RNAcentral.